GUUCUUGUAGCACAAUGGAUAGUGCGUUUAACUUCUAGUUCAAAAGGUCGUGGGUUCGAAUCCCACAUGGAAGGGCC
This is a non-coding RNA of Trichonephila inaurata madagascariensis, 77 nucleotides long. Lineage: Eukaryota; Metazoa; Arthropoda; Arachnida; Araneae; Nephilidae. The record is from the annotation of a GenBank genome assembly.